GGUAGCAAAAAUCUUUCUAGUGAUGUCUGGAGGCUUCUCUCGUGUAUGUCUACCAGAGUAUGGGUCCUUUACCCCACAAAUCAUAGAUCGAGUUAGUCUACAUGCCCCUCACUUUCUGAUCCAUGUUCAGGCUUGAGGCCUGUGAGUCUUCGUACAUCGUCGUCACCAUCUGAAUCCUCCAUUUCGUCAUCUGCAGAAAACAGAAUCUGACCAGCACAGGAGGAAGAGGCCAAAGAGUAAGACUGUGUUUAACUU
Long non-coding RNA from Carassius carassius (crucian carp), 255 nucleotides. RefSeq lists it as uncharacterized. NCBI's taxonomy places the organism in Eukaryota, Metazoa, Chordata, Actinopteri, Cypriniformes, Cyprinidae. The transcript has 2 exons. The record is from RefSeq and is a predicted model, not a curated record.